RNAcentral lists this ribosomal RNA (60 nucleotides) under Anaplasma marginale. RNAcentral's name for it is "partial 16S ribosomal RNA". The record is from RNAcentral. Lineage: Bacteria; Pseudomonadati; Pseudomonadota; Alphaproteobacteria; Rickettsiales; Anaplasmataceae.
GGGGACCGUAUACGCAGCUUGUUGCGUGUAUGGUUAGUGGCAGACGGGUGAGUAAUGCAU